GACGAACGCUGGCGGCGUGCUUAACACAUGCAAGUCGAACGGAAAGGCCCUGCGUUUGUGGGGUGCUAGAGUGGCGAACGGGUGAGUAACACGUGAGUAACCUGCCCUUGCAUUUGGGAUAACUUCAGGAAACUGGGGCUAAUACCGGUUAGGAGCCUCUGCUGCAUGGUGGGGGUUGGAAAGUUUCGGCGGUUUGGGAUGGACUCGUGGCUUAUCAGCUUGAUGGUGGGGUAGUGGCUCUCCACGGCUUUGACGGGUAGCCGGCCUGAGAGGGUGACCGGCCACAUUGGGACUGAGAUACGGCCCAGACUCCUACGGGAGGCAGCAGUGUGGAAUAUUGCACAAUGGGCGGAAGCCUGAUGCAGCAACGCCGCGUGCGGGAUGACGGCCUUCGUGUUGUAAACCGCUUUCGCCGGUGACGAAGCGUGAGUGACGGUAAUGGGUAAAGAAGCACCGGCUAACUACGUG
RNAcentral lists this ribosomal RNA (468 nucleotides) under uncultured bacterium. RNAcentral's name for it is "partial 16S ribosomal RNA". It matches the Rfam family "Bacterial small subunit ribosomal RNA", at positions 28 to 507 of the family's 1533-position model. The record is from RNAcentral.